CCAAAGACUCAUAUGGACUUUGG
Molecule: small nuclear RNA, 23 nt
Filed under: Arabidopsis thaliana (thale cress)
Lineage: Eukaryota; Viridiplantae; Streptophyta; Magnoliopsida; Brassicales; Brassicaceae
Description: snRNA_15032
Source: RNAcentral